This 2925-nucleotide ribosomal RNA is filed under the name Escherichia coli. RNAcentral describes it as "23S ribosomal RNA". It matches the Rfam family "Bacterial large subunit ribosomal RNA". Lineage: Bacteria; Pseudomonadati; Pseudomonadota; Gammaproteobacteria; Enterobacterales; Enterobacteriaceae. The record is from RNAcentral.
GGGUUGUGAGGUUAAGCGACUAAGCGUACACGGUGGAUGCCCUGGCAGUCAGAGGCGAUGAAGGACGUGCUAAUCUGCGAUAAGCGUCGGUAAGGUGAUAUGAACCGUUAUAACCGGCGAUUUCCGAAUGGGGAAACCCAGUGUGUUUCGACACACUAUCAUUAACUGAAUCCAUAGGUUAAUGAGGCGAACCGGGGGAACUGAAACAUCUAAGUACCCCGAGGAAAAGAAAUCAACCGAGAUUCCCCCAGUAGCGGCGAGCGAACGGGGAGCAGCCCAGAGCCUGAAUCAGUGUGUGUGUUAGUGGAAGCGUCUGGAAAGGCGCGCGAUACAGGGUGACAGCCCCGUACACAAAAAUGCACAUGCUGUGAGCUCGAUGAGUAGGGCGGGACACGUGGUAUCCUGUCUGAAUAUGGGGGGACCAUCCUCCAAGGCUAAAUACUCCUGACUGACCGAUAGUGAACCAGUACCGUGAGGGAAAGGCGAAAAGAACCCCGGCGAGGGGAGUGAAAAAGAACCUGAAACCGUGUACGUACAAGCAGUGGGAGCACGCUUAGGCGUGUGACUGCGUACCUUUUGUAUAAUGGGUCAGCGACUUAUAUUCUGUAGCAAGGUUAACCGAAUAGGGGAGCCGAAGGGAAACCGAGUCUUAACUGGGCGUUAAGUUGCAGGGUAUAGACCCGAAACCCGGUGAUCUAGCCAUGGGCAGGUUGAAGGUUGGGUAACACUAACUGGAGGACCGAACCGACUAAUGUUGAAAAAUUAGCGGAUGACUUGUGGCUGGGGGUGAAAGGCCAAUCAAACCGGGAGAUAGCUGGUUCUCCCCGAAAGCUAUUUAGGUAGCGCCUCGUGAAUUCAUCUCCGGGGGUAGAGCACUGUUUCGGCAAGGGGGUCAUCCCGACUUACCAACCCGAUGCAAACUGCGAAUACCGGAGAAUGUUAUCACGGGAGACACACGGCGGGUGCUAACGUCCGUCGUGAAGAGGGAAACAACCCAGACCGCCAGCUAAGGUCCCAAAGUCAUGGUUAAGUGGGAAACGAUGUGGGAAGGCCCAGACAGCCAGGAUGUUGGCUUAGAAGCAGCCAUCAUUUAAAGAAAGCGUAAUAGCUCACUGGUCGAGUCGGCCUGCGCGGAAGAUGUAACGGGGCUAAACCAUGCACCGAAGCUGCGGCAGCGACGCUUAUGCGUUGUUGGGUAGGGGAGCGUUCUGUAAGCCUGUGAAGGUGUACUGUGAGGUAUGCUGGAGGUAUCAGAAGUGCGAAUGCUGACAUAAGUAACGAUAAAGCGGGUGAAAAGCCCGCUCGCCGGAAGACCAAGGGUUCCUGUCCAACGUUAAUCGGGGCAGGGUGAGUCGACCCCUAAGGCGAGGCCGAAAGGCGUAGUCGAUGGGAAACAGGUUAAUAUUCCUGUACUUGGUGUUACUGCGAAGGGGGGACGGAGAAGGCUAUGUUGGCCGGGCGACGGUUGUCCCGGUUUAAGCGUGUAGGCUGGUUUUCCAGGCAAAUCCGGAAAAUCAAGGCUGAGGCGUGAUGACGAGGCACUACGGUGCUGAAGCAACAAAUGCCCUGCUUCCAGGAAAAGCCUCUAAGCAUCAGGUAACAUCAAAUCGUACCCCAAACCGACACAGGUGGUCAGGUAGAGAAUACCAAGGCGCUUGAGAGAACUCGGGUGAAGGAACUAGGCAAAAUGGUGCCGUAACUUCGGGAGAAGGCACGCUGAUAUGUAGGUGAAGUCCCUCGCGGAUGGAGCUGAAAUCAGUCGAAGAUACCAGCUGGCUGCAACUGUUUAUUAAAAACACAGCACUGUGCAAACACGAAAGUGGACGUAUACGGUGUGACGCCUGCCCGGUGCCGGAAGGUUAAUUGAUGGGGUCAGCGCAAGCGAAGCUCUUGAUCGAAGCCCCGGUAAACGGCGGCCGUAACUAUAACGGUCCUAAGGUAGCGAAAUUCCUUGUCGGGUAAGUUCCGACCUGCACGAAUGGCGUAAUGAUGGCCAGGCUGUCUCCACCCGAGACUCAGUGAAAUUGAACUCGCUGUGAAGAUGCAGUGUACCCGCGGCAAGACGGAAAGACCCCGUGAACCUUUACUAUAGCUUGACACUGAACAUUGAGCCUUGAUGUGUAGGAUAGGUGGGAGGCUUUGAAGUGUGGACGCCAGUCUGCAUGGAGCCGACCUUGAAAUACCACCCUUUAAUGUUUGAUGUUCUAACGUUGACCCGUAAUCCGGGUUGCGGACAGUGUCUGGUGGGUAGUUUGACUGGGGCGGUCUCCUCCUAAAGAGUAACGGAGGAGCACGAAGGUUGGCUAAUCCUGGUCGGACAUCAGGAGGUUAGUGCAAUGGCAUAAGCCAGCUUGACUGCGAGCGUGACGGCGCGAGCAGGUGCGAAAGCAGGUCAUAGUGAUCCGGUGGUUCUGAAUGGAAGGGCCAUCGCUCAACGGAUAAAAGGUACUCCGGGGAUAACAGGCUGAUACCGCCCAAGAGUUCAUAUCGACGGCGGUGUUUGGCACCUCGAUGUCGGCUCAUCACAUCCUGGGGCUGAAGUAGGUCCCAAGGGUAUGGCUGUUCGCCAUUUAAAGUGGUACGCGAGCUGGGUUUAGAACGUCGUGAGACAGUUCGGUCCCUAUCUGCCGUGGGCGCUGGAGAACUGAGGGGGGCUGCUCCUAGUACGAGAGGACCGGAGUGGACGCAUCACUGGUGUUCGGGUUGUCAUGCCAAUGGCACUGCCCGGUAGCUAAAUGCGGAAGAGAUAAGUGCUGAAAGCAUCUAAGCACGAAACUUGCCCCGAGAUGAGUUCUCCCUGACCCUUUAAGGGUCCUGAAGGAACGUUGAAGACGACGACGUUGAUAGGCCGGGUGUGUAAGCGCAGCGAUGCGUUGAGCUAACCGGUACUAAUGAACCGUGAGGCUUAACCUUACAACGCCGAAG